This 2885-nucleotide ribosomal RNA is filed under the name Escherichia coli. RNAcentral describes it as "partial 23S ribosomal RNA". It matches the Rfam family "Bacterial large subunit ribosomal RNA". The record is from RNAcentral. Lineage: Bacteria; Pseudomonadati; Pseudomonadota; Gammaproteobacteria; Enterobacterales; Enterobacteriaceae.
GGGUUGUGAGGUUAAGCGACUAAGCGUACACGGUGGAUGCCCUGGCAGUCAGAGGCGAUGAAGGACGUGCUAAUCUGCGAUAAGCGUCGGUAAGGUGAUAUGAACCGUUAUAACCGGCGAUUUCCGAAUGGGGAAACCCAGUGUGAUUCGUCACACUAUCAUUAACUGAAUCCAUAGGUUAAUGAGGCGAACCGGGGGAACUGAAACAUCUAAGUACCCCGAGGAAAAGAAAUCAACCGAGAUUCCCCCAGUAGCGGCGAGCGAACGGGGAGCAGCCCAGAGCCUGAAUCAGUGUGUGUGUUAGUGGAAGCGUCUGGAAAGGCGCGCGAUACAGGGUGACAGCCCCGUACACAAAAAUGCACAUGCUGUGAGCUCGAUGAGUAGGGCGGGACACGUGGUAUCCUGUCUGAAUAUGGGGGGACCAUCCUCCAAGGCUAAAUACUCCUGACUGACCGAUAGUGAACCAGUACCGUGAGGGAAAGGCGAAAAGAACCCCGGCGAGGGGAGUGAAAAAGAACCUGAAACCGUGUACGUACAAGCAGUGGGAGCACGCUUAGGCGUGUGACUGCGUACCUUUUGUAUAAUGGGUCAGCGACUUAUAUUCUGUAGCAAGGUUAACCGAAUAGGGGAGCCGAAGGGAAACCGAGUCUUAACUGGGCGUUAAGUUGCAGGGUAUAGACCCGAAACCCGGUGAUCUAGCCAUGGGCAGGUUGAAGGUUGGGUAACACUAACUGGAGGACCGAACCGACUAAUGUUGAAAAAUUAGCGGAUGACUUGUGGCUGGGGGUGAAAGGCCAAUCAAACCGGGAGAUAGCUGGUUCUCCCCGAAAGCUAUUUAGGUAGCGCCUCGUGAAUUCAUCUCCGGGGGUAGAGCACUGUUUCGGCAAGGGGGUCAUCCCGACUUACCAACCCGAUGCAAACUGCGAAUACCGGAGAAUGUUAUCACGGGAGACACACGGCGGGUGCUAACGUCCGUCGUGAAGAGGGAAACAACCCAGACCGCCAGCUAAGGUCCCAAAGUCAUGGUUAAGUGGGAAACGAUGUGGGAAGGCCCAGACAGCCAGGAUGUUGGCUUAGAAGCAGCCAUCAUUUAAAGAAAGCGUAAUAGCUCACUGGUCGAGUCGGCCUGCGCGGAAGAUGUAACGGGGCUAAACCAUGCACCGAAGCUGCGGCAGCGACGCUGAUGCGUUGUUGGGUAGGGGAGCGUUCUGUAAGCCUGCGAAGGUGUGCUGUGAGGCAUGCUGGAGGUAUCAGAAGUGCGAAUGCUGACAUAAGUAACGAUAAAGCGGGUGAAAAGCCCGCUCGCCGGAAGACCAAGGGUUCCUGUCCAACGUUAAUCGGGGCAGGGUGAGUCGACCCCUAAGGCGAGGCCGAAAGGCGUAGUCGAUGGGAAACAGGUUAAUAUUCCUGUACUUGGUGUUACUGCGAAGGGGGGACGGAGAAGGCUAUGUUGGCCGGGCGACGGUUGUCCCGGUUUAAGCGUGUAGGCUGGUUUUCCAGGCAAAUCCGGAAAAUCAAGGCUGAGGCGUGAUGACGAGGCACUACGGUGCUGAAGCAACAAAUGCCCUGCUUCCAGGAAAAGCCUCUAAGCAUCAGGUAACAUCAAAUCGUACCCCAAACCGACACAGGUGGUCAGGUAGAGAAUACCAAGGCGCUUGAGAGAACUCGGGUGAAGGAACUAGGCAAAAUGGUGCCGUAACUUCGGGAGAAGGCACGCUGAUAUGUAGGUGAAGUCCCUCGCGGAUGGAGCUGAAAUCAGUCGAAGAUACCAGCUGGCUGCAACUGUUUAUUAAAAACACAGCACUGUGCAAACACGAAAGUGGACGUAUACGGUGUGACGCCUGCCCGGUGCCGGAAGGUUAAUUGAUGGGGUCAGCGCAAGCGAAGCUCUUGAUCGAAGCCCCGGUAAACGGCGGCCGUAACUAUAACGGUCCUAAGGUAGCGAAAUUCCUUGUCGGGUAAGUUCCGACCUGCACGAAUGGCGUAAUGAUGGCCAGGCUGUCUCCACCCGAGACUCAGUGAAAUUGAACUCGCUGUGAAGAUGCAGUGUACCCGCGGCAAGACGGAAAGACCCCGUGAACCUUUACUAUAGCUUGACACUGAACAUUGAGCCUUGAUGUGUAGGAUAGGUGGGAGGCUUUGAAGUGUGGACGCCAGUCUGCAUGGAGCCGACCUUGAAAUACCACCCUUUAAUGUUUGAUGUUCUAACGUUGACCCGUAAUCCGGGUUGCGGACAGUGUCUGGUGGGUAGUUUGACUGGGGCGGUCUCCUCCUAAAGAGUAACGGAGGAGCACGAAGGUUGGCUAAUCCUGGUCGGACAUCAGGAGGUUAGUGCAAUGGCAUAAGCCAGCUUGACUGCGAGCGUGACGGCGCGAGCAGGUGCGAAAGCAGGUCAUAGUGAUCCGGUGGUUCUGAAUGGAAGGGCCAUCGCUCAACGGAUAAAAGGUACUCCGGGGAUAACAGGCUGAUACCGCCCAAGAGUUCAUAUCGACGGCGGUGUUUGGCACCUCGAUGUCGGCUCAUCACAUCCUGGGGCUGAAGUAGGUCCCAAGGGUAUGGCUGUUCGCCAUUUAAAGUGGUACGCGAGCUGGGUUUAGAACGUCGUGAGACAGUUCGGUCCCUAUCUGCCGUGGGCGCUGGAGAACUGAGGGGGGCUGCUCCUAGUACGAGAGGACCGGAGUGGACGCAUCACUGGUGUUCGGGUUGUCAUGCCAAUGGCACUGCCCGGUAGCUAAAUGCGGAAGAGAUAAGUGCUGAAAGCAUCUAAGCACGAAACUUGCCCCGAGAUGAGUUCUCCCUGACUCCUUGAGAGUCCUGAAGGAACGUUGAAGACGACGACGUUGAUAGGCCGGCUGUGUAAGCGCAGCGAUGCGUUGAGCUAACCG